This is a long non-coding RNA of Mercenaria mercenaria, 289 nucleotides long. RefSeq lists it as uncharacterized. The transcript has 3 exons. Lineage: Eukaryota; Metazoa; Mollusca; Bivalvia; Venerida; Veneridae. The record is from RefSeq and is a predicted model, not a curated record.
GAAUGGAAGAUGGCCUGUCUUGUUGUAGCAUAUCAGCACUGACAGUGAGGUAUUUACAGAAUGAAUAACUGUAACAUGUGAUUUCUUAAUUAAUCUGGAAAAGUGCAAAUUCACAUUCUGGUUGGCUGUUCAGUGUAAUCAAAUUCCACCCACAUCAGAGGUGCUCAGGGAGAGACAGCAAUAUGGAACAUAAUGGACAACGUGCUAGCACACAGACAGAAACAUUUUGGUUGACAGUUGAUUCAAGGUUAUACUGAAGGUAAGUUAGAUAUUUUGUUUUUAUCACUGU